CCUACGGGCGGCAGCAGUGAGGAAUAUUGGUCAAUGGACGAGAGUCUGAACCAGCCAAGUAGCGUGAAGGAUGACUGCCCUAUGGGUUGUAAACUUCUUUUAUAUGGGAAUAAAAUGUUCCACGUGUGGGAUUUUGUAUGUACCAUAUGAAUAAGGAUCGGCUAACUCCGUGCCAGCAGCCGAGGUAAUACGGAGGAUCCGAGCGUUAUCCGGAUUUAUUGGGUUUAAAGGGAGCGUAGGUGGAUUGUUAAGUCAGUUGUGAAAGUUUGCGGCUCAACCGUAAAAUUGCAGUUGAAACUGGCAGUCUUGAGUACAGUAGAGGUGGGCGGAAUUCGUGGUGUAGCGGUGAAAUGCUUAGAUAUCACGAAGAACUCCGAUUGCGAAGGCAGUUCACUGGACUGCAACUGACACUGAGGCUCGAAAGUGUGGGUAUCAAACAGGAUUAGAUACCCGGGUAGUC
This 460-nucleotide ribosomal RNA is filed under the name uncultured bacterium. RNAcentral describes it as "partial 16S ribosomal RNA". It matches the Rfam family "Bacterial small subunit ribosomal RNA", at positions 338 to 795 of the family's 1533-position model. The record is from RNAcentral.